GUGGGGAAUCUUAGACAAUGGGGGCAACCCUGAUCUAGCCAUGCCGCGUGAUCGAUGAAGGCCUUAGGGUUGUAAAGAUCUUUCAGCUGGGAAGAUAAUGACGGUACCAGCAGAAGAAGCCCCGGCUAACUCCGUGCCAGCAGCCGCGGUAAUACGGAGGGGGCUAGCGUUGUUCGGAAUUACUGGACGUAAAGCGCACGUAGGCGGAUUGGAAAGUUGGGGGUGAAAUCCCGGGGCUCAACCCCGGAACUGCCUUCAAAACUCCCAGUCUUGAGGUCGAGAGAGGUGAGUGGAAUUCCGAGUGUAGAGGUGAAAUUCGUAGAUAUUCGGAGGAACACCAGUGGCGAAGGCGGCUCACUGGCUCGAUAUUGACGCUGAGGUGCGAAAGCGUGGGGAGCAAACAGGAUUAGAAACCCCGGUAGUCC
RNAcentral lists this ribosomal RNA (425 nucleotides) under uncultured bacterium. RNAcentral's name for it is "partial 16S ribosomal RNA". It matches the Rfam family "Bacterial small subunit ribosomal RNA", at positions 354 to 796 of the family's 1533-position model. The record is from RNAcentral.